GGCCAGCAGCCGCGGUAAUACGUAGGGGGCGAGCGUUGUCCGAAUUUACUGGGCGUAAAGCGCGCGUAGGCGGACUUUUAAGUUGUGGGUGAAAUGCCGAGGCUCAACCUCGGAACUGCCUGCAAAACUGGGAGUCUUGAGGUAUGGAGAGGGAAGUGGAAUUCCUGGUGUAGCGGUGAAAUGCGUAGAUAUCAGGAGGAACACCUGUGGCGAAGGCGGCUUCCUGGCCAUAUCCUGACGCUGAGGUGCGAAAGCCAGGGGAGCGAACGGGAUUAGAUACCCCGGUAGUCCUGGCCGUAAACGAUGGAUACUAGGUGUUAGAGGUAUCGACCCCUCUAGUGCCGUAGCUAACGCAUUAAGUAUCCCGCCUGGGGAGUACGGCCGCAAGGCUGAAACUCAAAGGAAUUGACGGGGGCCCGCACAAGG
RNAcentral lists this ribosomal RNA (426 nucleotides) under uncultured bacterium. RNAcentral's name for it is "bacterial SSU rRNA". It matches the Rfam family "Bacterial small subunit ribosomal RNA", at positions 506 to 930 of the family's 1533-position model. The record is from RNAcentral.